RNAcentral lists this ribosomal RNA (253 nucleotides) under uncultured bacterium. RNAcentral describes it as "partial 16S ribosomal RNA". It matches the Rfam family "Bacterial small subunit ribosomal RNA", at positions 524 to 776 of the family's 1533-position model. The record is from RNAcentral.
UACGGAGGGGGCUAGCGUUGUUCGGAAUUACUGGGCGUAAAGCGCACGUAGGCGGAUCAGAAAGUUGGGGGUGAAAUCCCGGGGCUCAACCUCGGAAUGGCCUUCAAGACUGCUGGUCUUGAGUUCGAGAGAGGUGAGUGGAAUUCCGAGUGUAGAGGUGAAAUUCGUAGAUAUUCGGAGGAACACCAGUGGCGAAGGCGGCUCACUGGCUCGACACUGACGCUGAGGUGCGAAAGCGUGGGGAGCAAACAGG